This 460-nucleotide ribosomal RNA is filed under the name uncultured bacterium. RNAcentral's name for it is "partial 16S ribosomal RNA". It matches the Rfam family "Bacterial small subunit ribosomal RNA", at positions 338 to 795 of the family's 1533-position model. The record is from RNAcentral.
CCUACGGGUGGCAGCAGUGAGGAAUAUUGGUCAAUGGACGAGAGCCUGAACCAGCCAAGUCGCGUGAAGGAUGACUGCCCUAUGGGUUGUAAACUUCUUUUAUAAAGGAAUAAAACGAGGCACGUGUGCCUUUUUGCAUGUACUUUAUGAAUAAGGAUCGGCCAACUCCGUGCCAGAAGCCUCGGUAAUACGGAGGAUCCGAGCGUUUUCCGGAUUUAUUGGGUUUAAAGGGAGCGUAGAUGGGUUGUUAAGUCAGUUGUGAAAGUUUGCGGCUCAACCGUAAUAUUGCAAUUGAUACUGGCAGUCUUGAGUACAGGUGAGGUAGGCGGAAUUCGUGGUGUAGCGGUGAAAUGCUUAGAUAUCACGAAGAACCCCGAUUGCGAAGGCAGCUUACUAGACUGUGACUGACAUUGAUGCUCGAAAGUGUGGGUAUCAAACAGGAUUAGAUACCCUUGUAGUC